RNAcentral lists this ribosomal RNA (2015 nucleotides) under activated sludge metagenome. RNAcentral's name for it is "bacterial LSU rRNA". It matches the Rfam family "Bacterial large subunit ribosomal RNA", at positions 1 to 1999 of the family's 2925-position model. The record is from RNAcentral.
AAAAGCGAAUAAGGGCGCACGGAGGAUGCCUAGACAACAAGAGCCGAAGAAGGACGUGAUAAGCUGCGAAAAGCUAGGACGAGUUGCACAUUAGCGUUGACUCCUAGAUAUCCGAAUGGGAAAACCUAUAUACUUGAAGAGUAUAUACGAAAGAGGUAAGUGGGCGAACUGAAACAUCUAAGUAGCCUGAGGAAAAUAAAGUAAAAACGAUUCUCUAAGUAGCGGCGAGCGAACGGGGAAGAGCCUAAACCAUGGUAGUGUUAAAGUUGGCACGUUGCUAUUAUGGGGUAGAGGGAUAGUUGAUUGACGGAUAGCCAUGAAGUCGACAAAUUAAAUGACGUAAGAGGAACACAACUGGAAAGUUGGACCGAAGAAGGUGAUAGUCCUGUAGAUUGUAAAAUCAUUUAAAUGUUUUAACUAAUCCCGAGUAGUAUCGGACACGAGGAAUCCGGUGUGAAUCAGCGAGGACCAUAUCUCGUAAGGCUAAAUACUCUUGUUGAUCGAUAGAGAAUAGUACCGUGAGGGAAAGGUGAAAAGAACCCUGAGUAAGGGAGUGAAAUAGAACCUGAAACCGUGUGCUUACAAACGGUAGGAGCCCUUUGGGGUGACUGCGUGGAUUUUGGUUAAUCAUCCUGCGAGUUAUGAUGUGUGGCAAGGUUAAGUAAACGGAGCCGAAGGGAAACCGAGUCUUAAUAGGGCGAUAAGUCGCAUGUCAUAGACGCGAAACCUAGUGAUCUAGGCCUGUCCAGGUUGAAGCUGGGGUAAGACCCAGUGGAGGACCGAACUCACCACCGUUGAAAAGUUGGGAGAUGAGAUAGGUUUAGGGGUGAAAAGCCAAUCGAACUAGGAGAUAGCUCGUUCUCUCCGAAAUGCAUUUAGGUGCAGCCUUAAUAAAGAUAUAUGGGGGUAGAGCUCUGUAUGGCCUAGGGGGCGUAUAGCUUACCGAAGUCAAGCAAACUGCGAAUACCAUAUAUUAAUUAUUAGGAGUGAGUCCAUGGAUGACAAGGUCCAUGGACGAGAGGGAAACAGCCCAGACCAUCAGCUAAGGUCCCAAAUUAUGUCUAAGUGGGGAAGGAGGUGGAUACUCACAAACAACCAGGAGGUUGGCUUAGAAGCAGCCAUACCUUUAAAGAGUGCGUAAUAGCUCACUGGUCGAGAGUAUCUGCGCCGAAGAUUUAACGGGGCUAAGACAUAAACCGAAGCUAUGGAAACUAGAUUUAUAUCUAGUUUGGUAGGAGAGCGUUCUGUAAGCCGUAGAAGGUGUACUGUAAGGUAUAUUGGAGGUAUCAGAAGUGAGAAUGCAGGAAUGAGUAGCGAGAAAGAGAGUGAGAAUCUCUCUGGCCGAAAGUCCAAGGUUUCCAGAGGAAGGUUUGUCCGCUCUGGGGGAGUCGGGACCUAAGUCGAGGCUUAAAAGCGUAGGCGAAUGGAAAAUAGGUUAAUAUUCCUAUACCACUAUAUAAACGUUAUUAGAGAUGGAGUGACGCAGGAAGGUAUGUGAGAAGGGCGACGGUUGUCCCUUUCUAAGGAAGUAGUGUGAACAUGGAGGCAAAUCCACAUGUUUAAACAUGAGAUCUUAUGGGUAAGUAGCUUAGGCUAUAAGUCACAAAUCCUAUACUGCCGAGAAAAACUUCUAUUGAGAUUAUGUAGUGCCCGUACUGUAAACCGACACAGGUGGACUGGGUGAGUAACCCGAGGCCGACAGGAUAACUCUAGCUAAGGAACUCUGCAAAAUGGCCCCGUAACUUCGGGAGAAGGGGUACCUAUGUUAUGUGAUAAGAUAAACACUUUGAGCAGAAAUAGGUCGCAGUGAAGAGUCCCAAGCAACUGUUUACCAAAAACACAGGUCUAUGCUAAGCUGAAAGGCGACGUAUAUGGGCUGACACCUGCCCAGUGCUGGAAGGUUAAGAGGAGGAUUGAGAGAUUCGAAUUGAAGCCCCAGUGAACGGCGGCCGUAACUAUAACGGUCCUAAGGUAGCGAAAUUCCUUGUCGGGUAAGUUCCGACCUGCACGAAUGG